Molecule: transfer RNA, 72 nt
Filed under: Sphaerodactylus townsendi
Lineage: Eukaryota; Metazoa; Chordata; Lepidosauria; Squamata; Sphaerodactylidae
Description: tRNA-Asp
Rfam family: tRNA
About the family: Transfer RNA (tRNA) molecules are approximately 80 nucleotides in length. Their secondary structure includes four short double-helical elements and three loops (D, anti-codon, and T loops).
Source: RNAcentral
GGGGCCCUGACUCAGUGGUAGAGCAUCUUCUUGUCAUGCAGAAGGUCCUAGGUUCAACCCCCAGCAUCUCCA